This 252-nucleotide ribosomal RNA is filed under the name Gemmatimonadaceae bacterium. Its description in RNAcentral is "partial 23S ribosomal RNA". It matches the Rfam family "Bacterial large subunit ribosomal RNA", at positions 2678 to 2925 of the family's 2925-position model. Lineage: Bacteria; Pseudomonadati; Gemmatimonadota; Gemmatimonadia; Gemmatimonadales; Gemmatimonadaceae. The record is from RNAcentral.
CUAGUACGAGAGGACCGGGAUGGACGGACCUCUGGUCUACCAGUUGUUCCGCCAGGAGCAUUGCUGGGUAGCUACGUUCGGACGGGAUAAACGCUGAAAGCAUCUAAGCGUCAAGCCCCCUCCAAGACUAGAUUUCCCGUGGGGUUAACCCACCUGAAGGCCCCUCGAAGACUACGAGGUUGAUAGGUCGCAGGUCGAAGCACGGUAACGUGUGAAGCCGAGCGAUACUAAUUGGCCGUGCGGCUUAACCAU